GAGGUAGCCAACACUAUUUAUAUAUAUAUAUAUAUAUAUAUAUUUUAAUUGGGGUAGCCCCCAAAAUAUUGGGACAUAUAAAAAAAAACAACUCUGUUCCACAGAGUAGCUGUUGACAUUAUAGUUGCACAGGAACUUUUUUGACGCUAGAGAACCUCGGGCAAAUCGCACAUCCCCGUGGCGGCGACUUUUCAUGCGGAUAUCAUCCAUAUCAACUUUUGAUGCCAGUUUCUGCGCCUACCAUGGUGGCCACGGGUAACGGGGACUCAGGAUUCCAUUCUGUACAGGGACCCUGAGAAACGGCUACCACAUGCAAGGAAGGCAGCAGGCGCGCAAAUGACCCACUCCCGACGCGGGAAGGUAG
This 364-nucleotide ribosomal RNA is filed under the name Pelobates cultripes (western spadefoot toad). Its description in RNAcentral is "SSU_rRNA_microsporidia". It matches the Rfam family "Eukaryotic small subunit ribosomal RNA", at positions 121 to 467 of the family's 1831-position model. The record is from RNAcentral. Lineage: Eukaryota; Metazoa; Chordata; Amphibia; Anura; Pelobatidae.